Long non-coding RNA from Chenopodium quinoa (quinoa), 1068 nucleotides. RefSeq lists it as uncharacterized. The record is from RefSeq and is a predicted model, not a curated record. Lineage: Eukaryota; Viridiplantae; Streptophyta; Magnoliopsida; Caryophyllales; Amaranthaceae. The transcript has 2 exons.
UGUAUGAAAAUAAAGAUAUACUAGUAGAUGUGUUAAUACAUGUCUUGGGCACUGAUCCCGAUCAAAUGGGGCAAAAAAAUACUAAAGAAUUGAGGGAAUAAUAUUUUUGUAGAUGAAUGUACGACACACAAACACACACGGAUCACCACUCUCAAUCAUAGAUUAAAAAAUCAAGGUUAGAUUCUUUCUCCCACAACACACACGGAUCACCACUCUCAACCAUAGAUUAAAAAAAUGAAUGGUUAGAUUCUUUCUCCCACAACACACACAGAUCACCAAUCUGAACCAUAGAUUAAAAAAUCAAUGGUUAGAUUUACAUGAAACCCUUUUGAAACCCUUUCACUCUCACUCUCACUUUACCACUCUCACUGUACCACACACGGCGCCUCUCAUUCUCACGCCACCUCUCAUCGCCUCUCCGUCUCACGGCGCCUCUCGUUCUCAUCGGUGUUUGAUGCCCUAAAUCUCCAAAUUCAGGGAACAAUUUCAUCAGGUUUUUUAUGUUGCAAGAACUGAUAAACAUUGAAAGUCUGCUUUGUAUUUUUGGAUUUGAUAUUCUGGGGUGAAUUGGUGAUCCUUAGUGUAUCUUUGUGGCAUAUAUCCAUAUGGGAUUUCUACGGUGAAAGGAAUUGAUGUUAGCUUUCAAUGAUGCAAACAAGUAUUUUUCAAUGUUAGCUCUUCUGUUCUGCUGCUGCUGUUCUGCUGUGAUUGCUCUGUGCUGCUACUGCUUUGUUGAUCUGCUGCUACUGUGUUGCUGUUCUGCUGCUACUGCUUUGCUGUUCUGCUGCUACUGCUCUGCUGUUCUGCUGGAUCUGCUAUUCUGCUGCCUGCUUCAGCUGCUGCCUGCUGUUCAUCUGCCUGCUCAAGGCUGUAAUGUUGUUGAUCAUGUUAUGUUUAAGUAGUUCUGUUAAAACUUGUUUAAUUUAAGUUUGUAUGGAUUGAUUGGUUUGAUUUGAUACUUUGUUAGUUUGUUGUUUAAACUGAAAACUUAAGUUUGUAUGAUUUGGAUUGGUUUGUACUUUGUAUGAAUUGGACUAAAUUUGUUUACUGUUAUUUUGUUAAUUUGCA